GACGAACGCUGGCGGCGUGCUUAACACAUGCAAGUCGAACGGAAAGGCCCUGCUCUUGUGGGGUGCUCGAGUGGCGAACGGGUGAGUAACACGUGAGUAACCUGCCCUUGACUUUGGGAUAACUUCAGGAAACUGGGGCUAAUACCGGAUAGGAGCUCCUGAUGCAUGGUGGGGGUUGGAAAGUUUCGGCGGUUGGGGAUGGACUCGCGGCUUAUCAGCUUGUUGGUGGGGUAGUGGCUUACCAAGGCUUUGACGGGUAGCCGGCCUGAGAGGGUGACCGGCCACAUUGGGACUGAGAUACGGCCCAGACUCCUACGGGAGGCAGCAGUGGGGAAUAUUGCACAAUGGGCGGAAGCCUGAUGCAGCAACGCCGCGUGCGGGAUGACGGCCUUCGGGUUGUAAACCGCUUUCGCCUGUGACGAAGCGUGAGUGACGGUAAUGGGUAAAGAAGCACCGGCUAACUACGUG
RNAcentral lists this ribosomal RNA (468 nucleotides) under uncultured bacterium. Its description in RNAcentral is "partial 16S ribosomal RNA". It matches the Rfam family "Bacterial small subunit ribosomal RNA", at positions 28 to 507 of the family's 1533-position model. The record is from RNAcentral.